CACAAAACAAAACCAACAAUCAAUUCUCAAAACAAAACAUCAUAAAAAUCAUACAAAAUCUUAAAAUUCAAUUCUCAACCUAACAUGUCAUUCUACUAAUCUUCACAACCAACAAAAACAGAUCCAAAGCAAAGCUAUGAUACAAUCAACUGAUAGUUGUUUUUUCAAAGGAUAACUUGCUCAAAGAGAGAACAAGGAACCUGAUAUGAAAACAAUGAACUAUGUUCCACGAGAGAAAGAAAUAGAAGCUUUGUCACUAGCCAGAAAUUGAAAAGCUUCGUCGGAAAUUUAGGGAUUAGGAAUUGGAAUGAAGGAAACAACAUUUUAAGGAUUUAGGUCGAUGACUAGGGAUUUAGUGCUUGUGAUAGAAAACGGCGAUGAAGCAAAUUCAAUCACCAUAAAAUAUCCAUCAACAAAACAUAAGUAGAAAAUGGAAAUACCAUUACAGUCUCUGAAAAUAGCAUUAAAUACCUUUUUGCACAACACCUAUAGAAAGUAAUCAAAAGUUUACAAUCAAGCAUAGUUAGGAACUUGCACUCAUGCUCAGUAAUUAUUAGCAAUGCCCCAACCCCCAAAAUCUAGUACUCAAUC
Molecule: long non-coding RNA, 591 nt
Filed under: Trifolium pratense (red clover)
Lineage: Eukaryota; Viridiplantae; Streptophyta; Magnoliopsida; Fabales; Fabaceae
Description: long non-coding RNA (TPRA_LNC010416)
Source: RNAcentral